Long non-coding RNA from Mirounga angustirostris (Northern elephant seal), 13141 nucleotides. RefSeq lists it as uncharacterized. The transcript is spliced from 4 exons. The record is from RefSeq and is a predicted model, not a curated record. Lineage: Eukaryota; Metazoa; Chordata; Mammalia; Carnivora; Phocidae.
UUAUUAUAUUUUAUCUGUGCUCCAACUUUUCUCAGUGGGAUGGAGUGACCAGCAUAACUGAAGAAUAUAUUAAUAAAGGCCCAUAAAACGCAAACAAUUUGGAAAAACACAAACACCAGACCAGAGACGCAGAAAGAACAGUUGCUAAGCGACCCUGUCAGCCCAGCUGAAAAGCAGCACACUGAAACAGCAAAACUAUUUUGUCCGCGGGCGGGGUGCUUUCAAAAAAGACCUGACUGAAAAGAACAAAUCCAGCCCAAGCAGCCAACCCUGCGCAGUCGCAAUAAAAGAGUCACUUCUUUUCAGGAUGAUGCCUUUUUUCCAAGCACAAAGGGCGGGGUAGGAGGGCUUCAGAAUGGCUACACGGCGCACCACUGCCACCUAGAGUCCAUAGAAACCGAAGACAACAAACCCGCAAAACAAAAACACAAAUUUCCGCCGUAUUUUCCGCGAAAGACCAUAAAUAUAGUACUUGAGGAACCCAAAAGGGAUGACGCUGAGGACCAGGGACAGGAGGAAAUGCUAUCAAAGUGGCCCUACCGACCCCUCGCGAACCCGGAAGCCUUCCCUAUUCCCGCACCCGGAAACAGAGCAACCGGUGCAGGAAGUCCUGUCCCUGGAGGACGCUAACCGGCAGGGCUGGAGCGAGGCUAGGUUGCGAUUGGUUGAGUCUGGUCCAGCGCGCCGGAAAUGCGUCUGGGCCAGCGCGCCGGAAGUGCGUGAUGUCGGAACCAGCCUUCUUCCCCAAAUCCACUAGAAUUUCCCGUUCUUGUUAAAUCACAGUACUGGUAAAAUGUGGGUCCUGUCGCCUGACUUCGGGGGCGUCUCGACCGCACCUGUACCGUGCCUUGGUCAUUGUCCUGCCGACCCCAGCCUUUGAACACGCCAAUGCGGCGGGACAUUCUCUCUCCCCGUCUCAAUCUCGCUCCUCUGAUGCCUCCGGAGCCACCUCAAGUCUCAAGAAGAUGACCGGCCGCUCCGGGGCCUCUCGGUCCACAGGGGUGUUCUCCUUCUCCCCAAGCGGAGCAUCCCCCUGCCCACGGACUUGCCUUGGGCUUCAGGAACCCCCGCGCGCCUCAGUGGUGUGGUGUCUAGCAUUGUACUCCGGACACGAACACUUUGUCCUCGUUCUCCAGCUCCCUCCCUCUAAUGCCCCUGCAUUGCAUCCACAGCAAUCAGCUUCCAUGCCCAUCUCCUGCAGGGACACCGGAAGAAAGUUUGCCGGCCCUCCAGGACAUUCCUGGACUAGACAGACGUGCACACGCUCCCAGGCUUGCUCCGUAACCCCUGGGAGACCUCACAAGCUCUGGCGGGUCCAGACAGUGAACAAUCACGAAGAUCACGUCAGCCACUGAGAAGAAAUUAACCAAUGUGGCCUUGUGGUCUGAGGAGCCCUAGUGAAUGUGUGAUCUCACCUCACCACCCCGGGCAGCUCGUCCUCCGUCCACCCUCCAAUCAGUCCACGUUAGAGGAGACGGGGGCAUCUCCGCCUUGUCCUCUCCUUGAACUAGGCCCAUGUUUCGCAUCCCGUGUAAGCGGACCCCAACGCGGAGCACAGCAGGAUGAGCAGACCAGACAGACACACAGAGUGCCACCGUCAGUCAGGAGAGCUGUCACGGAGGGGAGCAGGUCCUUCUCCAGGCUGUCAUGGCCUCCACAAGCCAUGCCAGGCUCCAUUCUCCUUUACAACACAGGCCCCAUUUUCCAGGGUCUGAGCCAUGGAGCUUGGCUUCAGAAAACGGUGUAGCAGCGUGGACUGCUGGAGAAAAUCCCAGAACCGCAUUUAGAGGCCCCUAUGCUUUCACAGGCUUCGUCGUCUCCUGGGGCCUCAGUGUUGUACAGACUGCUUUCUUUGGGGCUCUGGUCCCUUCUGCAGACAUCCCAAGAUUACGCCUCUCCCCCUGCAUCCUCGACCAUACAUGGAUUCCUUCCCUGCUGGCCAAAGCACAUUCCCAUUCUCAGGGGAGAUCCUAGCAGGCAGGGAGAGGGAGGGAGAAGGGCCCGUGCGCUGGAAGGGAGUGUGGGAGUCUGCUGUCAUGGCAACAUCCUUCUGGUCCUCCUCACUGGGUCACUCAGCUCAGGCAUCAGCCCAGCUAAAGGUCCAGGACUGAUGAGAAAGCACUUGUCUCCACCUCGCUCUCUUCCUGGGAACAGAUGUUGAGAUUAAUUAAAACAACAACAACAACAACCAGACCAACACUGGUUACUAGGCGACUGAAGCUUCAUCCAUCUGACUCAAGAGAAACCGCCCCCCCCCCCCCCGCCCCAGAAGACAAAGGAGCGGAAACUCAGACACCGGAUGGAUUGCGUGGGAGGCCACGCAGACAGGCACUGGGACUGUCGGUAAGCGUGCCCGUCACAAGAGUCCCGGGCGUCGUGUGCUCGGCAGCACCCCGUGCAGCGCAGCGCAGCGCCUGCGGCGUGAGGGACCCCAGGGGGACACAGGGGCGGAGACCAUGAGGAGGGGAUGGAGGCAGAAACCAGACCAAGGAAGGCCCGACGGACCGCACGCACCUCCUGCCGCAGGUUACCUCCCUGUUCUCUCAAGGCUUAUGUGACACCUGCCAUUUCAGUUUGACCCGUUUGUGCACCGCCUUAGUUGGAGCAACUCCCACGCGGUGUCAGCUUCACCAGAAGAGCUUUUCUCUCACCUUUGGGGUGGGAAAAUCGGUAGAACAUAAAAGUGACCAUUUCAAGCAUGUUUACGUGAAGGGACAGUCGCAUCAGCAAGUUCGCGCGCGCCCUUGCGCCACCUUCAGCGGCGUCCCCCACCUGCAGAGUUCUCCCUGAGCCCGAACUCUAGCUUUGUGGCCUUUAUUUUUAUUUUUAAAGAUUUUAUUUAUUUAUUUGACAGACAGAGACACAGCGAGAGAGGGAACACAAGCAGGGGGAGUGGGAAGGGAGAAGCAGGCUCCCCGCCGAGCAGGGAGCCCGAUGUGGGGCGAUGCGGGGCUCGAUCCCAGGACCCCGGGAUCAUGACCUGAGCCGAAGGCAGACGCUUAACGGCUGAGCCACCCAGGCGCCCCAAGCUUUGUGGCCUUUAAUUAAACACUCCCCAGUGCAGGUUCCCCUCCGCGCCCGCUAACGGCUGGGGCUUAGGGAAAGCCACCGAGCAGGCGACUCGGAGACGCGGACCGGCAGGCAGCGACUGAGGAGAGCCCCCAGCGGCGAAGCAGAAGGGUUUCGUCCGUGGGCGGUGCGUUUUCGCAGCCCCCCCCCCCCCCCCGCCUCCCGCAGGGAACCGGGCAGAGCCGGCGCCAGGCGGCCUGCCCGCGCAAGCGCAAAAAGGCGGCUCCAUUUUAGAGGAAACAAGCCGCUGCUGCUUUUUUCAAGCACGAAGGGCGGGGGAGGAGAGCGGCAGAAAACCUGCACGGCGCACUACUGCCACCUAGCGGCCAUAGAAACUGAGCGCCACACGUUGCGGAAGAAAAUCCAUCUUUUCUACCAUUCCCCUGGGAGGCGACGUGCAGCUCAAGGCUGUGGGAGCUACGUGGAAUGCCGCCGAAGAGCAGAGGAAGCCAGGGAACGGCCCGAGAGGCCCGGCGGAAUCGGCCACCGCACAAAAACCUUCUCGUCGUCCUGCCCCGGAAGUUUGCCAACAGCGGCCGGAAGCCCGCGCCCGGAAGUCCCGGCACCAGGGAGGGCGAAUCGUGAGCGCUGCGACCCGAUUGGUGCUUUCUGGGCAUGCGCACCGGAGUGGAAUGACGUCGGCGCCAGGCUCUGGGCCCGGGUUCCUUAGGGGUCUGCGGACCUGUCAGAGGUACCGGGGAGACGGGGGUAUCCCGGUACUGUCACCAGGUUCCCAGGAGCUCCCCCACGCCCCACGGGCGGCACCUGUACGGGUCCUCUGUUUAUUGUCCCCCUCCCCACCCUAGCCAGCGAACACGCCAGUCCCGUAACACACUCGCUGUCCGCCCUCUCAGCCCUCACUCCUCCGAUGCCUCCGGGCCCCCCUCAAGCCUCACGAAGAUGACCCGCCGCCCCCUGGCCUCUCCGCCCCAGGGAUGUUCUCCUGCUCCCCAAGCGGAGUAUCGCCUUGCCCACGGACACGCCCUGGGCAUCAGGAACGCCGCGCCCCUCCCUGGCGUCCCGAGUAGCUUUCCUCUCGCUCAGCGCUCUGAACCGGAUGCCCUGGUUCUCCAGCUCCCUCCCUCUAAUGCCUCUACAUCCACAGUAUACAGCCUCUUGGGGGCCUCCAGUCCAGACCCCAGGGCCACCUCAAGGUUCACCCCCAAUAACAAACACUCCCUUUUUGUAUGUGAGCACCAGAGCAUUGAUGACGAAAUUUUAAAGUCUUAGUGAAUUCUUUUAUGUUAGUUCCAUGGCCAGCAGAGAAUUGCCUUUCAUUUCCACUCACCCUUCCCACACUAUUACAGCUCUCUUCCGGUCUGUUGCAACUGCCUACUGAUUCAUGGCGAGGACAGUAGCAAUCAGGUGGGACUUGCCACAGCUUCCCAAACCCUGUCCUGGCAUUCUCUGCCGCCCCUCUGCACACAUGCUCUACAGGGCAACCAGCCCCUCAGCUCUGCUCAGGAUCCCGCGCCUCCCAGCUUCUCAGAGACUUGGCUCCUGCAGUGUCUCCUCUCUCCUGUUCUCUCUACAUGGGAGCAUUCCACAAUAGAGGCGGGGGGGGGGGGGAACCCCGCUGCCUUCCCCCAAGUCAUCCUGCAGCUACUGGCCCCCAAUCUGUACCUUUCAAAGCAAAACUGCUUCAGCUUCUCCCGAGGCCGUUAGCUCCUGCACCCGCUUCGAUAGAGCUUUCGUCCCUAUCUCUCCACUGCGACUGUUCUCGUCAAGGCCUCCCUUAACAUCCAUAUAGCCUGACACCACUCACACUCUGUGCACAUGCGAGGGAACCUCUGAGGCGCCUUUGGCGCUGUGACCAUUCAUUUCUCCACCUACUUUUUUUAUAUAGAUUUGAGUUGGGAGGUGUAUAUAAACUCAAUUUCUAUUGUAUUUGACAACGUGUGAAUUUCACAUUAUGCCCCCUUUGACCUGGAUAUAUGGGAAUUCGGGUCAAUAUGAAAGACAAGCCAAAGAAGGAGUAUCCUUUUCAGUCACAGAGGGGGCAAAGGCCCCCAGAGGAAGUGGCGGCAGAGGUGAAACAGCUCAGACAAGGGACAGGUGUUCGAGAAGUGAGGGGGAGCUCCAGGUACAGGAGGGUUUCCCCUCAUGCACACGUGGGACUCACAGGAUACACUCCGUACAAUGACCCAAGCGCUCUCUUUGAGUAAAGGGAUAACUGGAGUUGAGAUAUAUAGCUUUCUGGAGCUGAUCUUAGUUCCUGCUAUGUUGUAGAUGAGAUGGGGGGGGGGGGGGGCUGGAUUCCCCUAUGGGGGAUGUAGAAUGUGGCUGGGUUCAUAACCAGAGGUUCAUGAUGGAAACUUUAACCAGGCAGAGGCUUAGAUGACUCUGCAGCUGCACCUGUGGAGGGCACAGUCCCGCCCAGGGGUGGGAUGGAGGAUGAGACCCAGAUGCGGAGGUAUUUGCAGAUGCCAGCUGAGUGAGGUGAGGCUGAGGCAGCCAGGGAGCACCAGGUCCCCACCAAGAGGAGGGAGACAGAAGUGCAAGUUACACCCGCCUCCCUGCAUGGCAUCAGCAGCUGGACCUGGGGGAGACAAGAGUCAUCCUUCCCUCAGAGACCACCGAGGGCACUGUGAGCCACAUAGGUGUGUCAUAGAACCCCCCUUUCCACAUCAUCACACACACCUGUAAGCCACACAUACCCUUCCUCAUGUUGGGGAGGAGUGAGGGGCGAGGGGUGGUGGAAACGUGAGACUGAGCAUUUGUAGAUAGGGACCAUUCAGCGACUGCAUCGGACCACGCUUACCUACCACAUUCGGUGUAAAUGCAUGGCUUCUCUCCCCCCUUGCCUUCCAGUCCAGAUGCGGGGCCUCACUCAGUCAGGAGACUAACGGAACCAAAGCGCCUGGGUGAUGUGAGGAGCACGAGUGAGUCUGUGAUCCGAGCUCACCAUCCCCACCGGCUUUUCCUCUGCCCGCGGUCUGUCCAAGCAGUCAUGUUAAAGGAGAUUGGGGGUCCUUGUCUUGUCCUCUCCUUUAACUCAGGAAGCUUUUACCGUCCACAGACGGACCCCAGGACAGAGGACAGAGAGAAGAGAGGCCCACACAGACACACACACUGGAGUAGCUGACAAGGGUUGUCACAGAGCUGAGCUGGGCCUCCCCGUGGCCACCCUGCCCCUGCCCUCCCCAGGCAAUUUCUCCUCGAACAACACAGACGCUCACUUCAGGGCCUGAGUUCUGGAUCUGGGCCUCAGAAAAUGUGUCCAGAGCCAGAGGAGGAUGCCUGGAGGAUCGUACCUAAAGCCAGUGGUUUUUAUUAGAAGAAGGAGAGGUUUUCCCUUCUUAAUUCGUUUGAAGGUAAAGCAUGUGAGUUUCCUCCAUGGAGCUGAGGGGCCCAAGUGAGGACCUCAGUAGUUGCUGACAGAGCCAGCACUAUCCCCCCCCCCCCACGAUCCUUUCCCCCCUCUGCUGGGUGCUCAGAACAUCUGAUCUUCGAGGGAGAGCCUCCCCAGGUCCGCCUAGAGCUGUCACAUCCGCAAGUAGGGACCCAGGCUUUUGUUUGCAGAGACCAGCAAUCAGGCGCCCAGUCAAGGACAAGUCUCAGGUCUCCAGCUGCUGUCACUGGCCCCGUGAGUGUGUUCUCCGUGGUGAGAGCCCAUUAGGUUCUGGCCACAACACAGUCAUGCAGCACGAACGGUGUUUGACGGGCUUUCUUUAUAGGAAGCUAGAGGACUUAGAACGUACUCGCUUAUGCCCACUGCCCCACUUGGUUCCUGAAGCUCAGAAGGUCAUGCUUUCUACCCCCCUCCGUCUGAAACAGACAGUGGUGCCCUGAGGCCCCGGAGUCUCUCAGAUGGAAACCAGGGUCUAGUCCUGAAGAAGCCACCACGCUCUCGUGUCACUCUGGGGAAGGAAGGGGUCGACCUGGAGCAAGGGCUUGGUCUCUUCUUACAGUCGUGGUUCACCGGGCCUCCCUUCCUCAUCUGGCCUCCUGUCGGAUAAUGACCUAUCCCUGCCUCCCUCCCUCAUCCAGCAGGGAUAAGGAGCUUUGGAACGACGGGGUUUCCUUCAGAAAGGCGCGGACUCUGUGGCCACAGAGCAAUGGCUGAAGUGGCUUUCGGACCGGACCUUGGUCCUUCUCCUGAGAGCGUUCGCCUGCGUUACCGCUCGGCGUCUGCCCAGUGGCCCCUGUGUGAGAUCUUAGAACAGUCUGGACCUGGGCCCCCCCCUGACUUGCAGCCACCCGCCGGAGCCUGCGCCCGGCAUCCUCUUCACGGUGAUCUGAGGACGGCACUCUGACCCCAGCUUUGCAGGGGCAGAAUCACAUGGCGCUUCUGUCCUGCGGCUCCAUGGCCCAGCCUCUCUGUUCCUCAUUGGAAGGACCCGAAAGCCCAGGCUCCUCACCAGCAGAGAGGACAUGCCGAGGCCAGUCUCAUGACCAGGACUUAGUUUUACAGAGCAUUCUAGUCUAUCCAGGCCCCGGCCGCAGACGAGGUUGCCCCGAACCAAGAAACAUGUUUGCCGGAGACACUUGGUCUGAAUGUCGUGGCCAGGCGCCCACGUCCCCAGACCUGCCAUCGCCCCAACCCCCGGCCCCGACACCCAGGGCCCUCAAUGGCGGCGCUGCUCUGAGCGUCCCCAGCAGGACUCCUGUCCUCAGAUGCCACCUCUGCCACAACUUCCCGUUCGGUCCCCCUCUGUUUCACUCCCGUCUGACAACUCAGUGUGGGGCUCUGCCGGGACACCAGCCGUUGAGGCGUCUGCCCGGAAGAUGAAGCCGCUUCUCCAUGGGUCACGGAGGCAGGAAUGGGGCGGGAGAGAGGUGAUGGAAGACUUGCUCCAACCCCACCGCUGCACGGACCCCACCGCUCUGCCCGCAACGGAAAGAAACACCGGUGAAGCUCACCCCAGCUCUCGACUCUGUCAUCGAGUCAACAGCCCGCGCCAUCCGCAGGGGUUUCUGGAGCCUGCAUCCAGUUGCUUUUCGGACCUGCUCCUGGGGACAGAAACUAACAUCCUCUGAAAGCACACAGCCACCUGCUUCUACUACCGCCCUGUGUCAAGCCAGGUUUCUUGAUCGUGUAGACCGCAGAAUGGACUUACUUGGCUACCUCUGGGUCCCUCCGCGAUGUCCCCCACCCGCGGAUCAUCCCUUUGCUAAAUUCUCCAAAGAGCUCCAUGUUGCCAAACCAAAGUACCCAGCGCCGUCUCGGCCACAGUAACAGCCCUCGGUUUCACAAUGCUGUGGUUCCUCAGCUGCUGGGACCGCAGCCCACCCUGGCUUUCCCCCUGCUUCUCAGAUCUUCACUUCUAAGUCUCCCCGUUGGCCCGUUUCAUUUGAUCCCGUCCUAAAUCUUGUUUUCUUUUUUCCUCCCAGGGUUCCAACCUCUGCUCUGCGCUCUUCUCAUUCUAUACACGAUCCGUGGGCGACUACAUCGCCACCCAGAGCUCUGCCCCCCUGACUCGCUUCCAUCUGUAUCCCCAUGUAUCCCUGUGGCUUCUCCCGUCAACGAGUCUACCUAAGAAAUGCCUGCUGGGCCCCAGACCCCCACGGGCUGAACCUAUGGGGCAUCUGCACUCAGAGGUCCCACAAGCCUUGCCAAUCUGCAGACGACCCCAGACCUCCAUUCCCUCCUCUCGGGUGGACACCACCAUCCACCCAAUGCCUUAAGGCAAUAUCCUGGGGAGGUUGCUAGGUGUGCUCUCCACCGCGCCCCGCCCCCCACCCCGACUCUCUGGGACCUGCUCAGGACAAGGCUACACCAUGAUCCUCACGUUGCCACAGGUGUUCGCAAAGUCGCCUGUGAGGGCUCCUUCUCCGCAGAUACACUCUGAGCACGUCCUCACAAAGCUCCUGGUUCGGGUGCGUUCCCCACAGGAAUUCCUGAGGACACCCGGGCCCUGCAAUACACCUGGGAGAUUGAAAUCCUCAUCUUCUGUAAGAACCCCCCGUGUAAACUCGAUGAAUGAGGCACAGCAGUAAGCCCGGGAUUUGGAAUAUGGAGUUGAGUAUCUGGAACCAAUCUCUCAAAGAGAAGGUUUGGGGAGGCACGUGUCCUUGGGUGAGCAUGAAACAAGGGACUGCUCAAUUUUACUUUUCAUCAUCAAUACCUCGACCUGUUUGGGCUCUUAUCUGAGCAUGGGAAUGAGUUUGAGAACAGAAAGUAUAAGAGAAAGUUAAAAAACACAACUCAGUAGACUUGGCAGAUAAGCCUGACAGCCGAGCCCAUCGCCAUCAACGGAUACGAAUCUCAGCCAACGCGUUUUCAAAGAAUUAUUGGGAUCUGUCUGAUGAAGUGGUCGAUACAGUGUUUUCUCCGAUCUUAAAGUAGCUAAGCACAAGGGAUCUGGACAGGAAAUAAAAAGUCUUACGUUUCGUGAGCAAAUGCAGGGUUUUAACUUCAAACUCUGGUUUUCGGGAACAUUGAGAGCAGCCAGUACAAUGGCAGUUUUAAAGCCCGCGUUUACUCUGACCUGUUUUUCCUUUCCUCACAGCCUAUGAGAUCGGCCAAUCACAGCAGGUAAUGGUGAAAACCUGCGGGCCUUGUAAGGGGAGUCUCAAAUUUCUUUCUUUUCUUUUCUUUUCUUUUUUUUAAUUUUAUUAUGUUAUGUUAGUCACCAUACAAUACAUCAUUGGUUUUUGAUGUGGUGAUCCACGAUCCAUUGUUUUCGUAUAACACCCAGUGCUCCAUGCAGUACGUGCCCUCCUCAAUACCCAUCACCGGGCUAACCAAUCCCCCCUCCCCCCUCCCCUCCAAAACCCUGUUUGUUUCUCAGGUCCAUAGUCUCUCAUGGUUCAUCUCUCCCUCCGAUUCCCGCCCCCCUCAUUUUUCCCUUCCUUCUCCUAAUGUCCUCCAUGCUAUUCCCUAGGUUCCACAAAUAAGUGAAACCAUAUGAUAAUUGACUUUCUCUGCUUGACUUAUUUCACUUAGCAUACUCUCCUCCAGUCCCAUCCAUGUUGAUGCAAAAGUUGGGUAUUCAUCCUUUCUGAUGGCUGAGUAAUAGUCCAUUGUAUAUAUGGACCACAUCUUCUUUCUCCAUUCAUCUGUUGAAGGGCAUCUCGGCUCUUUCCACAGUUUGGCUAUUGAGGACAUUGGGGUGCAGAUGGCCCUUCUUUUCACUACAUCUGUGUCUUUGGGGUAAAUACCCAGGAGUGCAAUUGCUGGGUCAUAGGGUAGCUCUAUUUUUAAAUUUCUGACUUGAGGUUUUCGCCUUAAGGAUGGUUCUGUUUCCACGGCUGCAAACUAGGUUUUCAUAGAAGUUUCCAAACAAUGCUCUUGCUGGGGCCACAUUCCAGACUCCCUACCUCAGACUCCCUGGGGAUGGAGCACCUGCAUCUGUCCCUCUUUUUUUUUUUUUUUAUUAAUAAUUUUUUUAUGUUACUCUCAGUAUAGUUAAGAUAGUGUUAUAUAAGUUUCAGGUGUAGAGUACCGUGACUCAACAAUUCCAUACACCACCCGGUUCUCAUCAGGAGGGGGGCACUAAUUAAUCCCCAUCACCUAGUUCGCUGAUCCCCUCACCCACCUCCCCUCCGCUUACCAUCAGUUUGUUCUCUAUAGCUAAGAGUUUGUUUCUUGGUUUGUCUCUCUCUCUCUCUCUCUCUCUUUUUCCUUUGCUCCUUUGUGGCUGUUAAAUUCCACGAGUGAAAUCAUAUGGCACUUGUCUUCUGACAUAUUUGGCUUAGCAUAAUCCUCUCUAGCUCUACCUGUGUUAUUGCAAAUGGGAAGAUGUCAUUCUUUUUUAUGGCUGAGUAAUAUUCCAUUGUAUAUAUACCACAUCUUCUUUAUCCAUUCAUCUCUCCAUGGACGCGUGGGCUGCUUCCAUGCUUUGGCUAUUGUAAACAAUGCUGCUAUAAACAUAGGGGUGCGUGUACCCCCCCGAAUUAGUGUUUUUGUAUUUUUGGUUAAAUACCCAGCAGUGUGAUUGCUGGACUAUAGGCAGUUCUAUUUUUAGCUCUUUGCGGAAACUCCAUACUCUCUUCCAGAGUGGCUGCACCAGUCUGCCUUCCCACCAACAGUGUAGGAGGGUUCCCCUUUCUCCACAUCCUCGCCAACACCUGUCGUUUCUUGUGCUUUUGACUUUAGCCGUUCUGACUGGUGUGAGGUGAUAGCUCACUGUGGCUGUGAUUUGCAUUUCCCUGAUGGUAUGUGAUGCUGAGCAUCCUUUCAUGUGUCUGUUGACCGCCUGGAUGUCUUCUUUGGAGAAAUGUCUGUUCACGUCUUCUGCCCAUUUUUAAACUGGAUUAUUUGUUUUUCAGGUGUUGAGCCCUCUCUGAGCUGCUCCAGGAAAGAAUCGAUGUGCAGCUGAGGUUGAGAAGCAUCGCUGAGCUUUCCCGGUCCUGGUUUAAAGAGGAUCUUGGAAUCUACAGCCAUGUGUACUAAUACUGAAAUUUUUAAAAAUCCCUUCUGUGUCUUCUCUUGCAGGAGCUAUUUUUUUUUUUUUUAUUUGAGUUUAGUUGACACACAAUGUUACAUCAGCUGCAGGCGUAUGUCACAGUGAUUCAACAUGUCUAGCUGCUCUGCUCCCCAGUAGCGUAGCUACCACCGGGCCCCAGACAAUGCUAGUACAGUAUCACUGACGAUAUUCCCUGGGCUGUGCCUUCCAUCCCGUGACUUUUUCAUUCCUUCACCAGAAGCCUAUAUCUCCCACCCCCCCCGCCCCCGCCCCGCUCACUCAACUUCCCCAUCCACCCACCCACCCCCUUCCCUCUGGCAGCCAUCGGUUUGCUUUCUGUAUUCAUAGGUCAGGAGCUAUUGGUGACGCAUUUACUUUACAGCCAUAUUGAGAAUAAUUUCAAGGACUCAGGGCUGUGUUUAUGCGCCACUGUCCCCUUCUCUACAGGACACUCAGGCAGGCGGAGGGGAGGGAGAAGGGCCUCAAGGAUGGAAAGGCAGCGGGAUUUCCAUCGUCCUGGUUACCCCUCUGCCGUGGAUCCCCACUGGCUCGCUGAGCGAGGCAGGGGCCCCUGUGUUUGGGGAGGGGCGGGGGGACAACAUCCCUCCCCAGUCUACACAUGUCUUCCUGUGGCCAGAGGUUGAAGCGAAGGGUGAGGCUGGUUACCAGGGACACCGCAGCCAGUGCCAUGGGAUUCCUGAAGAAUGGAAAAGUCCUAAGUGGGUUUCAGAUGCAGCAGGGACUAUGGGAACUUGGCCCCAGCCACAGAUUUCUGAGACAACCACUCUGUACUCUGUGCACCCAGUGGCUGCCCGCACACGCGGACACGCGGACACGCAGACACGCGCAGACGUUGCACUCACCAGCACUCCGUUCCGUUGUGCCCAGGGCUCGUUCUGUUGUGCACAGGGCUUGGGCUGGCGGGAGAUGCUAGCUCACAUGGAGGAGGCAGGUGAUGAUGGGUCACACAGGCAGGACCCAGAGAACAUGGAACGAGAGAUGGGGCAGUUUCUUAGUGUUAUAAAGUCAAUGGCAUACCUCUUCCUCCAGGACUUACUUAGACAUCUGCAUUACAUUUUCUAAAGGCUGUAAUUUGGGGCACCUGGGUUGCUCAGUCGGUUAAGCAUGUGCCUUCAGCUCAGGUCAUGAUCCUGGGGUCCUGGGAUGGAGCCCCGCGUUGGGCUCCUUGUGUAGCGGGGGGGGGGGUGUUUCUCCCUCCACCCCUCUUCCCCACUCAUGCCCUCUCUCCAAAUAAUAAAAUCUUUAAAUAAAUAAAUAAAUAAAUAAAGCCUAUGAUUUACCUCUCACAGAGUUCACCCAAUUAAAGGCUGCAAUGCAGUGACUUGUAGUAGAUUUACGGAGUUGCGCAGCCUUCAGCAGGAUUCAGCUGUACAUCAUUUCAUCCCUCCAGAAGGACCCUGUGUACCCGGCAGCACUCAAGUCCCACUCCUACCUCCAGGCCGAGGCAACACCUAAGCAGGCAUGAAACUGCCGUUCCCAUGCACCAACCCGGGGCCACCAGGCAACGAACGAGGAAUGGCCCCUGAAGAUCCUAAGGCCAGGGGAACCGGCACCAUCCCGCGGGAGCUCCUACCGUGUGCAGCGGACUCUGCUUCCAAUUCUCUGUGGGCAGGAAGACUCUCCUCCCCUUGCUCCUGGAUCACGUGAAGGCCGGGCCUGCUGCAGGGCCGCAGACGGUGACGUGAUGCUGCUCCCUGGUG